RNAcentral lists this ribosomal RNA (465 nucleotides) under uncultured bacterium. RNAcentral describes it as "bacterial SSU rRNA". It matches the Rfam family "Bacterial small subunit ribosomal RNA", at positions 338 to 795 of the family's 1533-position model. The record is from RNAcentral.
CCUACGGGCUGCAGCAGUGGGGAAUAUUGCACAAUGGGCGCAAGCCUGAUGCAGCCAUGCAGCGUGUAUGAAGAAGGCCCUAGGGUUGUAAAGUACUUUCAGUCGGGAGGAAGGCGUUGAUGCUAAUAUCAUCAACGAUUGACGUUACCGACAGAAGAAGCACCGGCUAACUCCGUGCCAGCAGCCGCGGUAAUACGGAGGGUGCAAGCGUUAAUCGGAAUUACUGGGCGUAAAGCGCACGCAGGCGGUUGAUUAAGUUAGAUGUGAAAUCCCCGGGCUUAACCUGGGAAUGGCAUCUAAGACUGGUCAGCUAGAGUCUUGUAGAGGGGGGUGGAAUUCCAUGUGUAGCGGUGAGAUGCGUAGAGAUCUGGAGGAAUACCGGUGGCGAAGGCGGCCCCCUGGACAAAGACUGACGCUCAGGUGCGAAAGCGUGGGGAGCAAACAGGAUUAGAUACCCUAGUAGUC